RNAcentral lists this ribosomal RNA (243 nucleotides) under Enterococcus cecorum. RNAcentral describes it as "partial 16S ribosomal RNA". It matches the Rfam family "Bacterial small subunit ribosomal RNA", at positions 1 to 224 of the family's 1533-position model. Lineage: Bacteria; Bacillati; Bacillota; Bacilli; Lactobacillales; Enterococcaceae. The record is from RNAcentral.
UUUUAUGAGAGUUUGAUCCUGGCUCAGGACGAACGCUGGCGGCGUGCCUAAUACAUGCAAGUCGAACGCAUUUUCUUUCACCGUAGCUUGCUACACCGGAAGAAAAUGAGUGGCGAACGGGUGAGUAACACGUGGGUAACCUGCCCAUCAGCGGGGGAUAACACUUGGAAACAGGUGCUAAUACCGCAUAAUUCCAUCUACCGCAUGGUAGAUGGAUGAAAGACGCUUUUGCGUCACUGAUGG